RNAcentral lists this ribosomal RNA (515 nucleotides) under uncultured bacterium. Its description in RNAcentral is "partial 16S ribosomal RNA". It matches the Rfam family "Bacterial small subunit ribosomal RNA", at positions 28 to 523 of the family's 1533-position model. The record is from RNAcentral.
GAUGAACGCUGGCGGCGUGCCUAAUACAUGCAAGUCGAGCGAAUGGAUUAAGAGCUUGCUCUUAUGAAGUUAGCGGCGGACGGGUGAGUAACACGUGGGUAACCUGCCCAUAAGACUGGGAUAACUCCGGGAAACCGGGGCUAAUACCGGAUAACAUUUUGAACCGCAUGGUUCGAAAUUGAAAGGCGGCUUCGGCUGUCACUUAUGGAUGGACCCGCGUCGCAUUAGCUAGUUGGUGGGGUAACGGCUCACCAAGGCAACGAUGCGUAGCCGACCUGAGAGGCUGAGCGGCCACACUGGGACUGAGACACGGCCCAAACUCCUACGGGAGGCAGCAGUAGAGAAUCUUCCGCAAUGGACGAAAGUCUGACGGAGCAACGCCGCGUGAGUGAUGAAGGCUUUCGGGUCGUAAAACUCUGUUGUUAGGGAAGAACAAGUGCUAGUUGAAUAAGCUGGCACCUUGACGGUACUUAACCAGAAAGCCACGGCUAACUACGUGCCAGCAGCCGCGGUAA